GGGGGCGUAAAGGUUUCGACGGGGAUUCUGAGGCAUGGUAAGCGAGUAGAGGGGGCGCGACCUCUAUAAAACGAGCACUUAAAUUUAAACGCUAACGAUAAUAAUAGUUUAGCACUUGCUGCCUAAUUAGGCGGCACAUCCGCUUGUGAGGGACUGCGGGCGCAAGCCGAUGUCAUAUUUUAGCAGUGCACUUUUUCCGAAAGGGUCUCGGUUCGGUUAAGGUUUUAGGGACUACCGUUUUGUUAAGCCUGUUUAUCGGCGUGCAAAACGGGAAACGCAAUAGAUAAACUACACUCGAAGAAAGCUGUGAAGACGGAUUUUCGGACGGGGGUUCGAUUCCCCCCGCCUCCACCA
Molecule: transfer-messenger RNA, 354 nt
Filed under: Bacillota bacterium
Lineage: Bacteria; Bacillati; Bacillota
Also listed under: 1 other name
Description: Firmicutes bacterium (gut metagenome) transfer-messenger RNA
Rfam family: transfer-messenger RNA
About the family: Bacterial tmRNA, also known as 10Sa RNA or SsrA, is named for its dual tRNA and mRNA-like properties. Its role is to liberate the mRNA from a stalled ribosome. To accomplish this part of the tmRNA is used as a reading frame that ends in a translation stop signal.
Source: RNAcentral